Molecule: long non-coding RNA, 210 nt
Organism: Sapajus apella (tufted capuchin)
Lineage: Eukaryota; Metazoa; Chordata; Mammalia; Primates; Cebidae
Exons: 2
Source: RefSeq, a predicted model, not a curated record
CAAAAAAAAAAAAAAAAAAAAUUAUGUAACUGUUUCACUUGUGUAUACUGAAGUAUCUCCGAAUAGACUUCCAAGAAAACCAGUCAUCAAACAGGAAAAAGGAUGGCUGAGGUCUAAGGAGUGUGAGGGAGAUUUUUAGUGAAUACCAUUUUAAAAUUUUGAACCAUAUUAAUAUAGGUCUAUUUUUUAAAUAAAUUUUUUAAGCGAAAU